This 71-nucleotide transfer RNA is filed under the name bacterium. Its description in RNAcentral is "tRNA-Trp". It matches the Rfam family "tRNA". From Rfam's summary of the family: Transfer RNA (tRNA) molecules are approximately 80 nucleotides in length. Their secondary structure includes four short double-helical elements and three loops (D, anti-codon, and T loops). The record is from RNAcentral.
GGGCCUAUAGUUCAAUGGUAGAAUUUCCCUCUCCAAAAGGGAAGAUCAGGGUUCGAAUCCUUGUGGGCCCG